ACGAACUGCGCGAACGUUAUUCGGAAUCAUUGGGCUUAAAGAGUUCGUAGGCGGCCUAAUAAGUCGGGUGUGAAAUCCCUCGGCUCAACCGAGGAACUGCGCCCGAUACUGUUAGGCUUGAGGGAGGCAGAGGUGAGCGGAACUGAUGGUGGAGCGGUGAAAUGCGUUGAUAUCAUCAGGAACACCGGUGGCGAAAGCGGCUCACUGGGCCUCUUCUGACGCUGAGGAACGAAAGCUAGGGGAGCAAACGGG
Molecule: ribosomal RNA, 252 nt
Filed under: uncultured bacterium
Lineage: Bacteria
Description: partial 16S ribosomal RNA
Rfam family: Bacterial small subunit ribosomal RNA
Source: RNAcentral